Molecule: ribosomal RNA, 729 nt
Filed under: Pantoea brenneri
Lineage: Bacteria; Pseudomonadati; Pseudomonadota; Gammaproteobacteria; Enterobacterales; Erwiniaceae
Description: bacterial SSU rRNA
Rfam family: Bacterial small subunit ribosomal RNA
Source: RNAcentral
AGAGUUUGCUCCGGGCUCAGAUUACACGGGGGCCGCAGGCCUCACACACACAAGUCGGGCGGUAGCACAGAAAGCUUGUUUCCGGGUGACGAGUGGCGGACGGGUGAGUAAUGUCUGGGGAUCUGCCCGAUAGAGGGGGAUAACCACUGGAAACGGUGGCUAAUACCGCAUAACGUCGCAAGACCAAAGAGGGGGACCUUCGGGCCUCUCACUAUCGGAUGAACCCAGAUGGGAUUAGCUAGUAGGCGGGGUAAUGGCCCACCUAGGCGACGAUCCCUAGCUGGUCUGAGAGGAUGACCAGCCACACUGGAACUGAGACACGGUCCAGACUCCUACGGGAGGCAGCAGUGGGGAAUAUUGCACAAUGGGCGCAAGCCUGAUGCAGCCAUGCCGCGUGUAUGAAGAAGGCCUUCGGGUUGUAAAGUACUUUCAGCGGGGAGGAAGGCGAUGCGGUUAAUAACCGCGUCGAUUGACGUUACCCGCAGAAGAAGCACCGGCUAACUCCGUGCCAGCAGCCGCGGUAAUACGGAGGGUGCAAGCGUUAAUCGGAAUUACUGGGCGUAAAGCGCACGCAGGCGGUCUGUUAAGUCAGAUGUGAAAUCCCCGGGCUUAACCUGGGAACUGCAUUUGAAACUGGCAGGCUUGAGUCUCGUAGAGGGGGGUAGAAUUCCAGGUGUAGCGGUGAAAUGCGUAGAGAUCUGGAGGAAUACCGGUGGCGAAGGCGGCCNC